GAAAGAUCUCCCAUGCUCAUGGAUUGGCAGGAUUAAUUUAGUAAAAAUGGCCAUUUUACCAAAAGCAAUCUACAGAUUCAAUGCAAUCCCCAUCAAAAUACCAAUCCAAUUCUUCAAAGAGUUAGACAGAACAAUUUGCAAAUUCAUCUGGAAUAACAAAAAACCCAGGAUAGCUAAAGCUAUCCUCAACAAUAAAAGGACUUCAGGGGGAAUCACUAUCCCUGAACUCAAGCAGUAUUACAGAGCAAUAGUGAUAAAAACUGCAUGGUAUUGGUACAGAGACGGACAGAUAGACCAAUGGAAUAGAAUUGAAGACCCAGAAAUG
This 325-nucleotide long non-coding RNA is filed under the name Rattus norvegicus (Norway rat). Its description in RNAcentral is "long non-coding RNA NONRATT006774". The record is from RNAcentral. Lineage: Eukaryota; Metazoa; Chordata; Mammalia; Rodentia; Muridae.